CGUGGGGAGCAAACAGGAUUAGAUACCUGGUAGUCACGCUGUAAACGAUGUCGAUUUGGAGGUUGUUCCCGUGAGGAGUGGCUUCCGGAGCUAACGCGUUAAAUCGACCGCUGGGGAGUACGGCCGCAAGGUUAAAACUCAAAUGAAUUGACGGGGGCCCGCACAGCGGUGGAGCAUGUGGUUUAAUUCGAUGCAACGCGAAGAACCUUACCUACUCUUGACAUCCAGAGAAUUUAGCAGAGAUGCUUUAGUGCCUUCGGGAACUCUGAGACAGGUGCUGCAUGGCUGUCGUCAGCUCGUGUUGUGAAAUGUUGGGUUAAGUCCCGCAACGAGCGCAACCCUUAUCCUUUGUUGCCAGCACAUUAUGGUGGGAACUCAAAGGAGACUGCCGGUGAUAAACCGGAGGAAGGUGGGGAUGACGUCAAGUCAUCAUGGCCCUUACGAGUAGGGCUACACACGUGCUACAAUGGCGUAUACAAAGAGAAGCGACCUCGCGAGAGCAAGCGGAACUCAUAAAGUACGUCGUAGUCCGGAUUGGAGUCUGCAACUCGACUCCAUGAAGUCGGAAUCGCUAGUAAUCGUAGAUCAGAAUGCUACGGUGAAUACGUUCCCGGGCCUUGUACACACCGCCCGUCACACCAUGGGAGUGGGUUGCAAAAGAAGUAGGUAGCUUAACCUUCGGGAGGGCGCUUACCACUUUGUGAUUCAUGACUGGGGUGAAGUCGUAACAAGGUAACCA
RNAcentral lists this ribosomal RNA (739 nucleotides) under uncultured Enterobacteriaceae bacterium. Its description in RNAcentral is "bacterial SSU rRNA". It matches the Rfam family "Bacterial small subunit ribosomal RNA", at positions 760 to 1502 of the family's 1533-position model. Lineage: Bacteria; Pseudomonadati; Pseudomonadota; Gammaproteobacteria; Enterobacterales; Enterobacteriaceae. The record is from RNAcentral.